Homo sapiens (human) is the source of this 1646-nucleotide long non-coding RNA. Ensembl annotates it as long intergenic non-protein coding RNA 836. Lineage: Eukaryota; Metazoa; Chordata; Mammalia; Primates; Hominidae. The record is from Ensembl.
GAUUCAUCAGCUCACAGUGAAACGAGCUUGCAUGAGAGCAUCCCAGGACCACUGAACAUUCAGAGGCGUGGUCUGACUCUUGGGGCCAGAGUUGCAUUGAUGGCACUUGAGAGACUAAUACAUAAUCCAGAGCUCCAAAUGUACACUGUGAAAUAAAACUGCCAAGACUAGGAGAGGAAAUUAUCUCCAGGAAAAAUGCCAUGCAUGACCAGGGUUAAUGAUAUGGAACACACCCCACAAAGAUGCUUUGCCUUUGGGUACCAGGACUUCAAAUCCUACACAAUGAAGACUCAGCCUGCCUGCACCCAGGUGAAAUAAACAGCAUUUUUGCUCACACAUAGCCUGUUUGGUGGUCUCUUCACAUGGAUGCGCAUGAAAUUUGGUGCUGUGACUCGGAUCCGGAGACCUCCCUUGGGAGAUAAAAUCCCCUGUCCUCCUGCUCUUUGCUCCGUGAAAAAGAUCCACCUACGACCUCAAGUCCUCAGACCCACCAGCCCAAGGAACAUCUCACCAAUUUUAAAUCAGCAAAAUGACAUGAAUGACUGAAAAAGCAUGUGGAGCACAAGACUCAAGAACUAAGUGAAAGGACUCACACUUCCUGAUUUCAAGUAAAGCUACAGCAAUCAAGACGUGGCAUUGAUGUAAGAAUAGACACAUCAAUGAAUGAAACAGAAUACAUCUUCCAGAAAUAAAUUCACACAAAUAUAGUCAAGAGGUUUUUUGUGUGCUAAAGUGUAUAUAAUAUUUACCAUUUUAACCAUUUUUAAGUGCACAGUUCAGAAGCAUUAAGAAUAAACAAUGUUGUAUAACCAUCACCAUUAUCCAGUUCCAGAAUUUUUCAUCACCUCACACAGAAACUCUGUACCUAUUAUCAACAAUAAAUUUUCAUUCCCCCCUUGCCCUCAGUCUCUGGUAACCACUAUUGAACUUUCUGUUUCUAUGAAUUUGCCCCUUCUCAGUGCCUAAUAUGAGUGGAAUAAUACAAUAUGGGUCCUUUGUGCCUAGUUUAUUUCACUUACUGUAAUGUUUUCAAGGUUCAUCCAUGUUAUAAUAUGGAUCAGAAUUUUAUUUCUUUUCAAGCAUGAAUAAUAGUCCAUGGUAUGUCUAUACCACAUUGUUUAUCCAUUCAUCAGCUGAUGGAUAUUUGGGGGUUGUUUCUAUCUUUUGGCUAUUGUAAAUGAUGAUGUUAUGAACAAUGGUGUAUAAUGUCUGUUUGAGCACUGCUUUGAAUUGUUUGGGGUAUAUACUUAGGAGCGGAAUUACUGGAUCAUAUGUCAAUUCUAUGUUUAAUUUUUGAGGAACUGUCGAGCUGUCUUUCACAGCAGCUGCAUAAUUUUACAUUCCCACCACAAUGCAUAAGAGCUUCAGUUUCUCAAAAUCUUUACCAACAUUUAUUUUUCUUUUUAAAAAUAUAUAAUAGCCAUACUAAUAGUAUAAAGUAAUAUUUCAUUGUGCAUUUGAUUUGCAUUUCCCUAAUGAUAACUGAUGUUGAGCAUCUUUUCACGUGCUUGUUGACCAUUUGUAUAUCUUCUUUUGAGAUAUGUCUAAUCAAGUCCUUUGUCCAUUUUUUAAUUGGGCUGGGUAUUAUUCUUCUGUUAUUGUUGAGUUGCAGGAGUUCUUUAUAUAUUCUGCAUAAAAGUUCCUUA